RNAcentral lists this small RNA (448 nucleotides) under Pongo abelii (Sumatran orangutan). RNAcentral's name for it is "processed transcript". The record is from RNAcentral. Lineage: Eukaryota; Metazoa; Chordata; Mammalia; Primates; Hominidae.
UUCACUCUGAAAAUUUUAAAUAUGUCACAGGACCUUAUGGAUUUUCUGAACCCAAACGGUAGUGACUGUACUCUAGUCCUGUUUUACACCCCGUGGUGCCGCUUUUCUGCCAGUUUGGCCCCUCACUUUAACUCUCUGCCCCGGGCAUUUCCAGCUCUUCACUUUUUGGCACUGGAUGCAUCUCAACACAGCAGACAGGAACUUAACUAGUGGAAUAAUUGUGCCAUGGGUAGAUCCAUAUUAUAAUUGAAGCAACUCAGAUUGCAGAAAAGGAGUGCCCUCAGCCAUGACCCAUAAGCAAAGAGGUCGGAAACAAAUGAAAAAACCAAAAGUUCCAAGUAUCAGAAAUCUCCGUAGGUCACAUGCAACUUCCUCAUUUAUUUCUGUCUAUUCUGAGAUGGUAAUUGUAUGAGAAAGCCCUCUAUUAAUAAUAAAUUCAGGUUUUUUG